GAUGAACGCUGGCGGCGUGCUUAACACAUGCAAGUCGAACGAUGAAGCCCAGCUUGCUGGGUGGAUUAGUGGCGAACGGGUGAGUAACACGUGAGUAACCUGCCCUUGACUCUGGGAUAAGCCUGGGAAACUGGGUCUAAUACUGGAUAUGACUUCUCAUCGCAUGGUGGGGGGUGGAAAGAUUUAUUGGUCUUGGAUGGACUCGCGGCCUUUCAGCUUGUUGGUGAGGUAAUGGCUCACCAAGGCGACGACGGGUAGCCGGCCUGAGAGGGUGACCGGCCACACUGGGACUGAGACACGGCCCAGACUCCUACGGGAGGCAGCAGUGGGGAAUAUUGCACAAUGGGCGCAAGCCUGAUGCAGCGACGCCGCGUGAGGGAUGACGGCCUUCGGGUUGUAAACCUCUUUCAGUAGGGAAGAAGCGAGAGUGACGGUACCUGCAGAAGAAGCGCCGGCUAACUACGUG
This 466-nucleotide ribosomal RNA is filed under the name uncultured bacterium. RNAcentral describes it as "partial 16S ribosomal RNA". It matches the Rfam family "Bacterial small subunit ribosomal RNA", at positions 28 to 507 of the family's 1533-position model. The record is from RNAcentral.